UGUGAAGACCCUGUCGGUGUUCUGUCCGACUAUCUAGGUCCAGCCCGAACAUACUCUGCUGUAUACACUUAGGAGGCCCCUCAGUCACGACGUGAAACCCUGGAGUAAUGCCGUAUGUGGUUACGGGCAACAACCACCACCACCCUCUCACUUAACUGUAGGAGUAAAGCAAUUUUAACAAAUCAAAUAAGCAAAAAUUAAUUCUUCUAAUGAGAGUGAAAGUUGCACUUUCCUAGGGUAAUCCUUUAUGGACACCUCACUCAAAAUAUCAGGACAUGUAUCUAUUAUAGGUGCUACUAAGCUUUAGGAUUCACUGCAAAUUUUCCAGUAGGGGCACUGUGAAUCAGUUGGAAAUCAAGAACAG
RNAcentral lists this long non-coding RNA (364 nucleotides) under Homo sapiens (human). Its description in RNAcentral is "LHRI_LNC2047.1". The record is from RNAcentral. Lineage: Eukaryota; Metazoa; Chordata; Mammalia; Primates; Hominidae.